RNAcentral lists this ribosomal RNA (420 nucleotides) under uncultured bacterium. RNAcentral's name for it is "bacterial SSU rRNA". It matches the Rfam family "Bacterial small subunit ribosomal RNA", at positions 93 to 509 of the family's 1533-position model. The record is from RNAcentral.
GAGUGGCGAACGGGUGAGUAAUACAUCGGAACGUACCCAGAAGUGGGGGAUAACGUAGCGAAAGUUACGCUUAAUACCGCAUACGUUCUACGGAAGAAAGUGGGGGAUCGCAAGACCUCAUGCUUUUGGAGCGGCCGAUGUCUGAUUAGCUAGUUGGUGAGGUAAAGGCUCACCAAGGCGACGAUCAGUAGCUGGUCUGAGAGGACGACCAGCCACACUGGAACUGAGACACGGUCCAGACUCCUACGGGAGGCAGCAGUGGGGAAUUUUGGACAAUGGGCGCAAGCCUGAUCCAGCAAUGCCGCGUGAGUGAAGAAGGCCUUCGGGUUGUAAAGCUCUUUUGUCAGGGAAGAAACGGCAGGGGCUAAUAUCCUUUGCUAAUGACGGUACCUGAAGAAUAAGCACCGGCUAGUACGUGCG